This is a non-coding RNA of Oryctolagus cuniculus (rabbit), 10754 nucleotides long. NCBI's taxonomy places the organism in Eukaryota, Metazoa, Chordata, Mammalia, Lagomorpha, Leporidae. The record is from RefSeq and is a predicted model, not a curated record.
AUAAACUACUUUGGAAAUUUAUAUUUACUAAAUAAAAGUUAAAAAUUAAAAGUUACUUUGACAAAGAGGACAGUAGCACUGGAGUUUCCCAUCUAAGCUCCUCUUCCUGGAGUGCACUCAACUCCUCAAAGCGUUAGAUUCGCCUCGAUUCAGUUCUUCCCCAUUGUGGCAGAGAGGAUUAUUUACCUCACCCUGGGAAUAGCUGGGACAGGAAAUUCACGCAAGCUCCUUUAGAAUUAAUGGUGGACACAAAGCUGAAUUACUUUUCAGGCAGAGCAUCCAAAUCAAUGUAGAAAAGUCUGUUGACAUUCAUCCUGAAUGUACAUCAAAGCACCAGUGAACUAAUAUCAAGAACUCUAAUUUGUCAUUAGAAAUUAAGUAGCCACACUUUUGGAUUUAGCAGCUGAUCGUAAAUACCCUGUGUAUUUAACUUUUGUGAAUUUUUAUUGUAUGGCCAUUAUACUUCAUUAAUAGUGCAUUCUUGAACAAAACUUUAAAAAUAGGUCAUUCCAUUUUAUUGCCCCAAUAUUUUUAUUCCAGUGGGUAUCUGGUGUUAGGGUCAUAGUAGCUACCAUUAAUAAUAAGUCAUAAAUAGCAUACAUUGAUAAAUGUUUAAGGUGGGACACUUAGAAUAAGCCCAAUUCCCACUGUCCUUCUUGUCAGGGGAAAUGAGAGGUAGGGAGAGGGAGUCUGCCUCUCCAGAAGGCUGCCCCAGUGCAUGAUUUGAUCUGAAAUGAAGAAGUGGUAACUCUGGGCAUCAUUUUAGCUCAGAUGCAUCGUGUCUCUUCUGUAUUCUAGAGCAAAUAUUAGAGGGUUGAAUGAAUCUCAAACUGUAGAUAUGUUUCAGGUCUAUUUUUAAACUCACACUGGCUCUUUUCCAGAAAGAAGAGAAACAAAAAUCUACUGGCAGUAAAGCCUUUACCUUUUCCAUUGAAUUUUUUUUGAGAUUAAAAAAAAAAAAACUUCUGAAAAUCCAGAACAGAUGGAGCCUUAUGAAGUACACAGCAAAGCUGAACACUUUGCAGACUACUUAGUAGAAAAUGAAGUUCUCAAGAAAAAAAAAAAAAAAAAAACACAGUUGUCUUUUUAAAAAACAAAAAUCAGUUGACCAGAGGCAAAGUAUCAGGUGCAGUAAAUAUUUGCCUUUCUUUGAAGACACUGAAAACAGUAAAAGUCCAGUCACAUUAAAUUGUUCUUCUGGUUGGUCUGCAAGACACCAAAGGAUUUCCAAUCUGAAUCAAGUUUGUGUAUUUUUUUUAUCAAUAAGAUUGUUGAGUGAUUCAGGUAAUGCUCAAGAGAAUUGGUAACAUUGCUUAUUAACACCACUUUCUCUUUCUCUUUAAAUAGCAGAAGAGUUAAAUUUAAAACUGUAAACUGUCCAAGGACACAGAGGUAGCACAGAAAAUUUAAGAUAUGUAACAGCUAUGUUUAAAGAUUUCACAAUCUCCACAUUUGUAGGUAUUGAAUCAGUAACCUGGCUCUUUGUAACAGGUGAAGAGUAUGAGAUGACCCAUGCAAGUCCGGUAGAAGAGUGUGGAGGCUCUGGGUGUUUACUCUUUUUCCCAGUUGGCCGUGUGUCAUUCAUCGUAGACUUACUACCAAACCACUGGGAAUGACCCUUCAUCAACUAACAUGGUACAGCAGCCGGUGAAAUAGGCCGAAAAAACUGUCAGUCCUAAGGAAAGUACUGCAGAGGAGCCUUGCAAACAUGGUGGUGAAACAUGCCAAACAGAUACAGUUGGCUUUGUGUUGUUGUUGUUUUAACGUCACACUUGACAAAUCCUUCCUGACUUUCCAAGGAAAGAGACAAGUAAGCUUCCAUUUUGUCAUCAAUAAAGGUGGCAGGUUGUAAGGGCUUAAAUACCAUCUCAAGACUAAAAUAUAGAGGAUGCAUGGCAAGCUAUUGUAAAAAAGAAAACAAGUGCGGAGAAAAAACAAUAAAAGCAAAAUCUUUCUUAGAGGGGAUCCAGGAGCACAUUUCUUUGGCUGCAAAUCCAGUGUGAAUAAAAGGGGGAAGGGGAGGAAUGGCAACUUGAAAAGGCCAAAUGGAGUGGUAAAGCAAACUUCUGUUUAAUGAGAUCAAGACACCUGUAGAUGGGUGACUGGGUGUGCUGGUCUUUUGAUGCCUGAGGCUGUUUAUCAUGAGCUUAAGGAUACUGGCAAGUCUCAAAAUGCUUUCAAAAUCGCUUCAUUGUGAUUCUCUUUAGUUCUGGAAAAUCAAAUAGCUGCCUGUAGCUCUUAGAUGUCAGAGACUAAAAAGCAUAAAUGUGGUGCCAUAACAAGUCCAAGGUAUUUGGAAAUCAUGUGUCUAACUUUGAAUGUCUGCAAUUACAGGAUGAUUAUAAAGCUGACGACCUGGAGCAGAUGUUCUGCGAGUGGUUGUUGAGGUACUGCUUGGAACGCCCACAUCUCAUACUGGAGUGCCUUGGCUCAAGUGCUGGCUCCACUUCUGAUUCUGGCUUUCGGCUAAUGCCCACCUUGGAAUGGGUCAAGUUCUUGGGUCUGUAUGGGAGAACUGGCCUCAGCCUGGACCAGCCCUGUCUGUUGUAGGUAUCUGGGGAAUGAACCAGCAGAUGAAGGAGAUCUCUCAUUUUGUCUUCUCUCUCUUUCCCUGUCUUACUGCCUUUAAAAUAAAUAAGUGAAUCAAUAAAUUAAAUUCAAAAUAAGAGAUAUGAUUUUUUAAAAGAUUUAUUUAUUUACUUGAGAAGCAGAAUUAUAGACAGCAGAGAAAAUGAGAGACAGAGAGGUCUUCCACCUUCUGCUUCACUCCCCAAAUGGCUCAACAGCCAGAGCUGAACCUAUCCGAAGCCAGGAGCCAGGAGUUUCUUCUGGGUCUUCCAUGUGGGUGCAUGGGCCCAAGAACUUGGGCCAUCUUCUACUGCUUUCUCAGGCCAUCAAAAGGGAGCUGGAUCAGAAGAGAAGCAGCCAGAACUUGAACUGGUGUCCACAUGGGAUGCCGGUGCCACAGGCAGAUGCUUAACCUACUAUGCCACAAAACCAGCCCCAGAGAUGUGAUCAUUUAAAAGUAGAUGGUCAUGAUUAGCUGCAAAUGGCUGCCUGAGAGAAAAUGGGAACCCUAGGAAACCCAACACAGGCCUCUAAGAACUCCAGAAACUACUACGGCUUAAUAAUGUCACUGCCUCCAGAGAAUACUGGUGAUUUAUUGUUUUUAUAACUUGACAUGCUUGACUUCUCCAGGAACAAGGUGUGAUCCAAGAUGCCAGGUCCCGGAUUAGAUGUCCAGAAUCUUAAAGAACCUAGGAAUUGGACCUGGGCUCUCAUGAAGCAGAACACCUUAGCAGAAUCAUUUUUCCUCUUGGCUAAGGAGGAAAUAUCUAUUUUGUUGCUAUUGCAUGAAUACCCUUCCCUCCAUCCACUGUAUCAUGUCUGUCUAUCUACUAAUCUAUCUAUAUCUUUGUCUACAUCUAUUUAGCCAUCAUAUUUUUUAAAAACUUUCUCAACAUUUACUGUGUCCCAGGCACUAUGGUAUGUGCUGGAUAUAAAGUAGUUAAUGAGAGACUCAUGGAGUUUACAGUCUAAUGGGGGAGGCCCAAAUAAACAAGUAUGUAAAUAAAUCAACAUCAUAUUUAUGGAUACUAUAAUUAGCCCUAAAAAAUAAACAGUUGAUAAAAGAGUGAGUAGCAGGUGGCUAUAGCAAAUAAAGGUCACUUUAGUUAGAGUUGUCAGGUCAUGUGCAGCCGAGUCUUGAUGGAUGAAGAAGAACUAAAUGCAUGAGAGGAACAGCCAAUAGGGAAGAUAGGAGUGUUUCAGGGAGAGGGAACAGCAAGAAUGAAGUCCAUGAGGUAGAAAAGAAGAGUCAUUGGGAAAGCAGUAGAAGAUGGCCCAAGUGCUUGGGCCCCUGCACCUGCGUGGGAGACCAGGAAGAAGCUCCUAGCUCCUGGUUUUGGCUUGUCCCAGCUCUGAUUGUUGUGGCCAUUUGGGGAAUGAACCAGCGGAUAGAAGACCUUUCUCUCUCCCUGCCUCAGCCUCUCUCUAUCUGUAACUCUGCCUUUCAAAUAAAUAAAUAAAUCUUUUAAAAAGAAAAAAAAAAGAGGUAUGCUGUAGUGUAGUUGGAAUGUGAUGAAACUAGGCAUGGUGAUAUUAGGAUUGGAGGGAAAAGAAAUUAGGAUUUGGGGGUAGGUAGUGUUUUACACAGUGAUGCCAAUCGGGAUGUCUGCAUCCUAUAUUAGAAUGCCUCAGUUCAGCUCCUGGCUCUGCUUCUGAUUCAGGCUUCCUGCUAAUGCACACCUUGGAAGGCAGCAGGUGAUGGUGAUAUAGAACAGUUCCCCAAAACUGGUUAGGGGGGUGCUCUAGAAUCCCCCAAACAGGGUCCACUCACCUGAUAUGCAGAAAGCCAAUCAGUAAUAUCAGGGUGGUGUAAGAAAGAAAGCAUUUAUUACAGAGCGCAGAGCAAGGAGGCAGGAACUGCUACUUAAUUCUCGAGCUCCCAGAGGGGCUGGGGGGAAGGGUUCUUAUAGAUUGAAAUGGGGUUGAGGUGUGUGUUCAGCUUGUGUCCAAGUUCCUGGCUGGUCUGCAGUGCUCAUGGACCUCUUUCAACUGGUGGGUGAUAUCGUGUCUUUUAUUGAAUUUAAUGAUGCCAAAAUGGGCUUCAGAUAGUCUAGGGGCUACAGACAAGUGGUAGUUACUUUCUGCUCAAGGCCUAGAGCUCCCAGAAAUGAAGUCAUUCAAGACAAGACCCAACAUCAAGAGGUUAUCUAUCAGAGAAACAACCUUAUAGGGGCUCUCUUUCAGUGGCUCAGAUACCCAGGUUGCUGCCACCCGUUGGGGAGACCCUGGUGGAGGUUCUGGCUCCUGGUUUGGGGCUAUUGCAGGCAUUUGGAGAGUGAAUCAGCAGAAGAUGUCUCUCUACUUUUCAAAUCACUACAUGUAUUUUGAAAAGUAAAUUAUGAUUUUAUUCUAGGUACAGUGAGAAGAAAUCACCAGUGGUUUUUAAGCAAGAGAAUAAUCAAAUCACUUUGACUGUCAUGUGGGAAAUGUAUUAGAAGAGGACAACAUGGACGGAGUGAGACCAGUUAAAUGAUGGAAGGUGAUGAUGACUUAAACUUCUUAUCCAGGGAGAGGUGACAUCAUAUCCCCUCCAUUUGUCUUUGGGUGUGCCUGUAACUGCUUCUACCAACAGAGAAGCAGCAGCAGUGAUCCAGGACUUCUAAAUUUAGACUGUAAAAGGCCGUGAGGCCUCUGCUUUCUCUGUUGGCCAUUGCUCAAUCCACCACGUAAGAAGUCUACCCUUAGGGCUGGCACUGUGGUGUAGCGGGUAAAGCCACUGCCUACAGUGCUAGAACCCCUUAUGGGCACCGGUUAGAGUCCCGCUGCUCCACUUCCAAUCCAGCUCUCUACUAUGGCCUGGGAAGGCGGUAGAAUAUGGCCCAAGUCCUUGGGCCCCUGCACCCACAUGGGAUACCCAGAAAAAGCUCUUGGCUCCUGGUUUCUGAUUGGCACAGCUCCAGCUGUUGAAGCCAAUUGGGGAGUGAACCAGCGGAUGGAAGACCUCUCUCUCUCUCUGCCUCUCCUUCUCUCUGUGUAUAACUCUGAAUUUCAAAUAAAUAAAUAAAUCUUUAAAAAAAAAAAAAAGAAGAAGAAGUCUACCCAUCCUGAGACUACCCCACUAUGAAGGAACCCACACCACUCAAGAGGCCAGCUGAGGUCCCAGGCAGCUGCCAGCAUCAGCCGCCAGGUGCGUGAGUGAAGGCACCUCCAGAUGAUCCUAGGUCCGUGGUUAAGUCACACCCAGUCUGAGUCUUCCCACCUGAGGCCCCAGGCAUCAUGGAACAAAGCUUGAGCUAUAAUGAUCAUCUUCUUCUCUACAAAGGAUUUGUGAAGUUCAGGAAACUAGGAGUCUUCAGGUAGGUGGCAUGCAAGGUAGAAGGGAGGGAUACUCAGAAAGAGCUGCAACAGGAGCAGGUGUUCGGUGCGGUAAGUAAGAUGUCACCUGGGACACCCAUAUCCCACACUGAACCACAUCCCUGGUUCAAGUCUUGGCUACUGUGCUUCCAAUCCAGCUUCCUGCUAAUGCACUCUGGGAGGAAGCAGAUGAUGACUCAAGCACUUGGAUUCCUGCCACCUACGUGAGAGAUUGGGAUUGUGUUCCUGGCUCCUGGCUGCAGCCUGGCCCAGCCCUGGCUGUUGUGGGCAUUUGGAAAUUGGAUGGAUGACCUCUCUCUCUGUCUGUCCCUGUCUCUGCCUCUCUCUCUCUAACUACCUCUCAAAUAAAUGAAAAUAAAUAAAUCAGUGCUUUCCUCUGGUUUCCCUACAGAGCAGUAAACCUUUAAGAGUGAUCAGAGGAGGCUCAAUGUCCUCCUUUAGGCCCCUGACUUACAAGGGCCCUGGCUGAACGCCUUGUCCUGCCAACUGCCAUCUCCACCUGAGCGUUUGAUAAAUGUGCUCUGAUGACAAAAGUGAUGAGGGCAGAAUGGGUUUGUAAUGUUUCUUAGAGUUAGGGAACUGCACGCUGGACGUGCAGAGGACUCAAAUUGCUUUUCCAAGGUCACACAACCACUUCUAAAAAAGGAGCCGGUCUUGGAAUUGAAAUCUUCUGCCUCCUGGUUCAGAAUCCUUCUCCCUGAGCACAGAUGUGGAUAAGGGAAGUCUUACAGGAUAGCUCUUAUUUGCUUGGGAGGGACACGCUACUAUUGAGGCAAGAAAGAAUGGGGGCCGGCGCCACGGCUCACUAGGCUAAUCCUCCGCCUAGCGGUGCCGGCACACUGGGUUCUAGUCCCGGUCGGGGCGCCGGAUUCUGUCCUGGUUGCCCCUCUUCCAGGCCAGCUCUCUGCUAUGGCCAGGGAGUGCAGUGGAGGAUGGCCCAGGUGCUUGGGCCCUGCACCCCAUGGGAGACCAGGAAAAGCACCUGGCUCCUGGCUCCUGCCAUCGGAUCAGCGCGGUGCGCUGGCCGCAGCGUGCCGGCCGCGGCGGCCAUUGGAGGGUGAACCAAUGGCAAAGGAAGACCUUUCUCUCUGUCUCUCUCUCUCACUGUCCACUCUGCCUGUCAAAAAAUAAAAAAAAUAAAAAUAAAAAAAAACUUAAGUUGGGUAAUAAAUGUAGCAUUUAUUAAAAAAAAAAAGAAAGAAAGAAUGGAUUCGAACAUCAGGGACUUAUUGCCAGAUGUCAAGAUAACCAUUAACCAGACACUGGAAAUUUGGGCGGUGUCAUGUGUAAGUGGCAGGAAGACAGUAUCAAGGGGCAGUAGGAAUGUUUCUCUAUGAUAAAAACACAACUGCUGGCCCGGCUGCAGAUUUCUGGAGUUCCCAACUGGCACGGCCUCUUAGACAGGCUUUUUGUUUUCAUUUUUAUUUUUAUUUGAGAGGCAGAGUGACAGAGAGAAAGAAGGCGGGGAGUGAGAGCUCCCAAGUACAGGCUCACUCCCCAAAGGCUCCCAACAGCCAGGGCUGGAGGAGCUGGGAACUCACUCUAGGUCUCCCUUUUGGGCCGCAGGAACCCACUUACUUGAGCCAUCGCUGCGACCUUCCUGAGUACACAUGAGCAGGAAGCUGGAGUCGAGAGCCAGAGCCAGGUGUGGGCUUUCAACAAAGAGGAAAGGUGCUGGGGCUUCCAUGAUGUAACCAUAAUGAAGGCAUCUUCCCUUCCCUUCCUUUCAUAUUUUAACUAACAAAAACCAACCUCUGACAUUGUGAACUACCUGUGACUAACCUUGUGAAUAAUAACGUUGGCAUGGGAAUUCCAGGAGCCUACUAAAAGGAGAAGACUUGGAAUGGCAGGCGCCACACCAAGCUAAGAAGCAAGUAUGCAACCAUCAGCUACAAACAGCUGAGCUCGUUAUCAACAGCCCUCCACCUGGCGGACACCCUGGAUUUCCCCAGAUAGCCCAUCUCAGAGCAAAGCCUGAAAAUCUGCUUCAUUAUCAAUUGACUAGACUCAUUCCUUUUUUCUACCCUCCACCUGCAGCUACCCUUUCCUUUUAAAAACCCUUUGGCUGGCUUGUUGGGUGGAACGAAUACAUUUUGGUUCCCAAGGUCACUCUUUCUCCAAGAUGCAGGCUUCCUGGAAUAAACCCUUUCCUCACACCAGCUCUCAUCUCCGGUGAAUCAGCUAUGUCCAGCGGCAAGCAGCAAGGUAACAGUUUUACUCAGAUACCCUCAAAUACCGCUAGACACAUUAUUGGUGUAGAUUCCUGGGCUGAAGGCAUUUCAUUAGCAUUAAAAAAAUUUAACUUUGGUGGGCGCACCCAUGAAGUACCUUUAUAGGUUAUGUUUCUGGUAUAUCAAAAUCUAGGGAAGCACAAUCUAGCAUCUUAGGUGAGUGCAUGCAAGAAAAGGAAGAGGAAGUGAACCUACCAUGACAAACUACUGGGAAUGACCCCGGGUGAGAAACAGGUUUCCUACACCAAAACCCGCUGAAGAAAGUGAACAAGUGGAAGUAAGUAACAGGAUGACACUGGCUUACAGUUGUGUUGCGUGAAAAGCUCCACCAUGGUUUAAAUUAUGUGUUCAGCGCUGAUGAGCCUGGAGGGUUCUAAUGCUCUGAAUUGUUGGGUAUCUGGCUUCAGUGUGCUUUUAGUUUGUAAGAAUGACACGUGGGGGCAGGAAGUGGCGGAAUCCACCAGAAGUAAGGUUCUUGUGUGUCAUAGAAUGGUUCCAAAAGAUUGAAUAAGCGAAUGCAGGCCUGUAUGAAGAACCUUAGGGCUGACUGCUCAGGACUGCUGUCCUUGGUACCCUGGUACACACCUGCUGGGUGAAGUUUCCCUCUCAGCCUCCUGGAUAUAUUCUGUUUCAAAUGCAGCUUCCUUUCUCCCUGUUGGUAACAGAAUCCCAUUUCCUGUUAGCAGUUCCUGGCUUCCCUCUUAACACUUUGUGGCAUUCUCAAUGAAUUAACCUUGCCCUAAUUAAAUUAGCCAGCAAGUUCUCACUUGUAAAUCCUGGUAGGUUUGUCUCUAGAUGGUUCAGAUAUAAAGAUGUUGCAAUACAAAAGGAGAAAAAAAAAAAAAAAACCUCAGAAUCCAAAGUAUCCCUGAACUUUAAGACUGGUGUGUGUUGGUUUUGUUUGGCUUUGGUUUUCCAUAGGAGAAUUGUUUUUACAAUGUGGUGCUCAGCCCUGUGGUUGUAUGAGUGGUGGAGAUUUUUUUUUUUUCUGAUUAGUUCUGGGAUUGAAAUUCUUAAUACUUGCCUACGUGUGGUCUUGGCGCAAGCUGGUGUUGAAGUGGAAAAACAGCAGUGAGAGUGGGGCCUAGAGGCUGGAGAGGAGGCGAGGCAGGGGUCUGCUCAGUCCACGGCUGUCACACAUAAAGGAAGCAGCACUGACUACGCAGCUGUGGGCAGCAUGACAGUCUCUUCCUCCUCCCAGGGACUCCAUACACACCUUGGUCACCGCCUCCCAGCUCAGUUUCAUUCAUCUAGGAAUUGUCCAUUCACUGCACAGGGCAGCAGAACGACACUGAGUCACAACAGCAAUGCAACCUUUGAAGAUAAGGACAAAGUAAAGAAGUGUGUUUCGACUUACCUGGGGGAGGGUAUGAAGCAGGUAUUCCCAUCUAUUACCGAUGGGCGCAAGCUGCGGGAAAUUUUGACACUGAGUUGGGAGCAUGUUAGGUGGCCAGGGCUGCCGUAACAGCACCGCAGGCAGAGGGGCUUAAACCACAGAGCUGUAUUUUCUCGGGACUCUGGAGGCUGGACGUCCAAGAUCUAGGUGAAGCCAGGGUUGUUUGUUCCUGAGACCCUUCUCCUUGACUUGUAGAUGACCGUCAUCUCCACGUGUCUGCACGAGACCUCUCUUUGUGCCGCUCUGUAUCCAAAUGUCCCCUUCUUGUGGCCACCACUCACAGUGAACAUCCCCCCGAACACAUUCCUGCCAACUUCAUUCCUCCUCAGAGCCCAGCCCUCCAAAGACAAUCUCACUAUGAGGUACUGGAGGUCAGGACCUCCACAAAUAUCACAGGGCUUCAGAAAGCUCACAAAAAGAUGGACUUAAAAGACAAGUUUAUUAUGGUGCCAAGAAUUUUGAAAAUGAUGCAUCGAGAUUUCAUAGUAGGCACUUCCUUUGAAUUUUUUUGAAGACCUCUCUAGACUGACAAAAGGACAUGUCACUGAGUUACUCUACUUUUAGGAAAUUACACUAAAGAAAUAAAUAGAACUCCAAUGAUAGGAUUCUACAAUAUUUCCUCAUAACCUACUUUUCUUACCUUUUAUAUCUUUUGAACAUGUCUCUACAUAUCUAAACAUAUACAGUGUGUCACUUUUAAUCACUAUCUUGUAUUUUGUCACCAGGCAAAAGAUUUAUUUAACAGUUUAAUAGUUAUAUUCUUUUUUUUUUUUAAGAUUUAUUUCAUUUGGGGCCAGUACCAUAUAGGUGCCGGUUUCUCUCCUGGAUGCUCCACUUCUGAUCCAGCUCUCUGCUAAUGGCCUGGGAAAGCAGCAGAUGGCCUAAAUGCUUGGGCCCCUGCAUCCACGUGGGAGACCUGGAAGAAGCUCCUGGCUCCUGCCUUCAGAUAGUUGUAGCUCCGGCCAUUGCGGCCAUCUGGGGGGUGAAGCCCCCACCCCGUCUGUAACUCUACCUCUCAAAUAAACAUAUAAAAAUCUUUAAAAAAAUGAAAUGAAAUAAGAAAUGAAGAGACAAUAGAACAGUAAAACUACUACUAAAACAGUACUAUACAGUACUAUACUUUGUGUGUCUGUGUGGGUGCAAGCUAUUGAAAUCUUUACUUAGUAAAUACUAAGUAGAGCUUCCGUAUAUAAAGAUAAUUGAAAAUGAAUCUUGAUGAAGAAUGGGAUGGGAGAGGGAGUAGG